RNAcentral lists this ribosomal RNA (440 nucleotides) under uncultured bacterium. RNAcentral describes it as "partial 16S ribosomal RNA". It matches the Rfam family "Bacterial small subunit ribosomal RNA", at positions 338 to 795 of the family's 1533-position model. The record is from RNAcentral.
CCUACGGGUGGCAGCAGUGGGGAAUAUUGCACAAUGGGGGAAACCCUGAUGCAGCGACGCCGCGUGAGUGAAGAAGUAUUUCGGUAUGUAAAGCUCUAUCAGCAGGGAAGAAAAUGACGGUACCUGAUUAAGAAGCCCCGGCUAACUACGUGCCAGCAGCCGCGGUAAGACGUAGGGGGCAAGCGUUAUCCGGAUUUACUGGGGUUACAGCGAGCGUAGACGGCAGCACAAGUCUGGAGUGAACUGCCGGGGCUUAACCCCGGAACUGCUUUGGAAACUGUGCAGCUAGAGUGGAGGAGAGGUAAGUGGAAUGCCUAGUGUAGCGGUGAAAUGCGGAGAUAGUAGGAGGAAGACCAGUGGCGAAGGCGGCUUACUGGACUGUAACUGACGUUGAGGCUCGAAAGCGUGGGGAGCAAACAGGAUUAGAUACCCUUGUAGUC